Molecule: ribosomal RNA, 253 nt
Filed under: uncultured Eubacteriales bacterium
Lineage: Bacteria; Bacillati; Bacillota; Clostridia; Eubacteriales
Description: uncultured Clostridiales bacterium partial 16S ribosomal RNA
Rfam family: Bacterial small subunit ribosomal RNA
Source: RNAcentral
UACGUAGGGGGCAAGCGUUAUCCGGAAUUACUGGGUGUAAAGGGAGCGUAGACGGCUGUGCAAGUCUGGAGUGAAAGGCGGGGGCCCAACCCCCGGACUGCUCUGGAAACUGUAUGGCUGGAGUGCAGGAGAGGUAAGCGGAAUUCCUAGUGUAGCGGUGAAAUGCGUAGAGAUCGGGAGGAACACCAGUGGCGAAGGCGGCCUACUGGGCUUUAACUGACGCUGAGGCACGAAAGCGUGGGUAGCAAACAGG